CGCUUCCAGGCCGGCCAUGUAGAAAGACAGGCAGUCAGCUCUCCAGUCUGUAUGCCCAAUGCUAAACCUCUUGCCUAGUUUGCUUCUUUUUAAGGCCUGGGAUCACCGCAGAACUAAGUGUCUGAGAAGUUCACAUAUUUUCUGCCUUCGGAGAGUACGACUUGAAAUGGGCUAACAGACUAUCAACCAUUGACCUGCUCAAACUACCAAAGUGGGGCAAGAGGGACUCUUCAAGAAGUCCAGAAUUACCUUCUAGAGACAGCUCAGAAUCAAAACUGGGUAUGUUUUCUGUCUUCUGUGUCUGUUCAUUCAUGGAAGGAAGCAGAGUACCUGGGGCAGAACCAAUCUCUUGCCUACUUGAGUUGGUAGACUGGGAACUAUUCCAUAAGGAGGAAGUCCUGUACGUCUUGAAUCCCCACUGGAGAAAGUAAUUGUCAGAAGACAUCUGUGGCUGAGCAGAAAAGCCAUGCAACAGUGUUUUUCCUGGUCUCGGGAAAUGUUUUCGAAGUUGUGUAGCUAUAAUGAAGCUACUCAAUUUAACUGAAUUGAACCAUCUGGGUAUCUGUUGGGCUGACAAAGCCAUUUUUCUUAAAGUAGCCUACAAAGGAAAUAUAUAACCAUCAAAAAAGAGAAACUUAUUUGACUUAAAUGUUUAGAAUUGUAUUCAAACAACAAAAUAAUAAACUGGAAAAUCUUUUUUUCUAAUUCAAAGAUGUUUAAUAGACUUAGAUGAUUGGAGUAGUCCCAUGUUAUUUAACCACAGGAAAAGCCAAAAACAAGGCAAUCCCAGUUACAAACCAAAGGAUGGGAACUUUUGAACAGGAAAAAUAAAGAUUCUUUACAAUGAGAAAAAAAGCAAAACCAAUUGUAUAAGAAAACCAUUUAAAACAAAAAUCUGUUAAUAUUUAAAUUACAGCUGAACCCAAUCAUCUCUGUUAGUUUAAUAUUUAAAGGAAAUAAGGUGAUGCAAUGAAGUGUUCUUGAAAUUUGGUUUGUAGGACAUUUAAGAAACAAACUGUUGAUCAAGACACUGAAUUAUGCAAAUGAAUUUAAUGUCUAUGCAUUACUCACAAAAUAAAAAACAAGAAGAAA
Molecule: long non-coding RNA, 1092 nt
Organism: Mustela lutreola (European mink)
Lineage: Eukaryota; Metazoa; Chordata; Mammalia; Carnivora; Mustelidae
Exons: 2
Source: RefSeq, a predicted model, not a curated record